RNAcentral lists this ribosomal RNA (743 nucleotides) under Citricoccus sp. PO2-11. RNAcentral's name for it is "bacterial SSU rRNA". It matches the Rfam family "Bacterial small subunit ribosomal RNA", at positions 114 to 869 of the family's 1533-position model. Lineage: Bacteria; Bacillati; Actinomycetota; Actinomycetes; Micrococcales; Micrococcaceae. The record is from RNAcentral.
CACGUGAGUAACCUUCCCUUGACUCUGGGAUAAGCCCGGGAAACUGGGUCUAAUACUGGAUAUGACCUUUCACCGCAUGGUGGAAGGUGGAAAGAUUUAUCGGUCUUGGAUGGACUCGCGGCCUAUCAGCUUGUUGGUGAGGUAAUGGCUCACCAAGGCGACGACGGGUAGCCGGCCUGAGAGGGUGACCGGCCACACUGGGACUGAGACACGGCCCAGACUCCUACGGGAGGCAGCAGUGGGGAAUAUUGCACAAUGGGCGCAAGCCUGAUGCAGCGACGCCGCGUGAGGGAUGACGGCCUUCGGGUUGUAAACCUCUUUCAGUAGGGAAGAAGCCUUUCGGGGUGACGGUACCUGCAGAAGAAGCGCCGGCUAACUACGUGCCAGCAGCCGCGGUAAUACGUAGGGCGCGAGCGUUAUCCGGAAUUAUUGGGCGUAAAGAGCUCGUAGGCGGUUUGUCGCGUCUGCUGUGAAAGCCCGGGGCUUAACUCCGGGUCUGCAGUGGGUACGGGCAGACUAGAGUGCAGUAGGGGAGACUGGAAUUCCUGGUGUAGCGGUGAAAUGCGCAGAUAUCACGAGGAACACCGAUGGCGAAGGCAGGUCUCUGGGCUGUUACUGACGCUGAGGAGCGAAAGCAUGGGGAGCGAACAGGAUUAGAUACCCUGGUAGUCCAUGCCGUAACGUUGGGCACUAGUGUGGGGGACAUUCCACGUUUCGCGCCGUAGCUAACGCAUUAAGUGCCC